This 31-nucleotide non-coding RNA is filed under the name Rattus norvegicus (Norway rat). Lineage: Eukaryota; Metazoa; Chordata; Mammalia; Rodentia; Muridae. The record is from RNAcentral.
UAGGAGAAAGAUGCAUCACAACAUCUAAUGC